Archocentrus centrarchus (flier cichlid) is the source of this 221-nucleotide long non-coding RNA. RefSeq lists it as uncharacterized. NCBI's taxonomy places the organism in Eukaryota, Metazoa, Chordata, Actinopteri, Cichliformes, Cichlidae. The record is from RefSeq and is a predicted model, not a curated record. The transcript is spliced from 3 exons.
GUCCCUAGCAUCCCUUGGAAUGCUGUUGAAGUUCUGUCACAGAACUGAAUUGGAAAUCCAAAGGUGCUGGAAAGCUUCUUCUCCAACCCUCAAAGCCGGACUUCACCCAUGAGAGCUGACAGCAUGCAAUUAUUUUUGAAGUGACAUUCUCAGAAAUAAAGAUUUCUCCCACCUCUGUUUUGAUGCCAAGAAGAAGAAGAAGAAGAAGAAGAAGAAGAAGC